AGAACGAACGCUGGCGGCAUGCCUAACACAUGCAAGUCGAACGAGACCUUCGGGUCUAGUGGCGCACGGGUGCGUAACGCGUGGGAACCUGCCUUUAGGUUCGGAAUAACUCCUCGAAAGGGGUGCUAAUACCGAAUAAUGUCUUCGGACCAAAGAUUUAUCGCCUUUAGAUGGGCCCGCGUUGGAUUAGCUAGUUGGUGGGGUAAAGGCCUACCAAGGCGACGAUCCAUAGCUGGUCUUAGAGGAUGAUCAGCCACACUGGGACUGAGACACGGCCCAGACUCCUACGGGAGGCAGCAGUGGGGAAUAUUGCACAAUGGGCGGAAGCCUGAUGCAGCGACGCCGCGUGAGGGAUGACGGCCUUCGGGUUGUAAACCUCUUUCGACAGGGACGAAGCGAGAGUGACGGUACCUGGAGAAGAAGCACCGGCCAACUACGUGCCAGCAGCCGC
This 451-nucleotide ribosomal RNA is filed under the name uncultured bacterium. RNAcentral's name for it is "SSU rRNA". It matches the Rfam family "Bacterial small subunit ribosomal RNA", at positions 26 to 518 of the family's 1533-position model. The record is from RNAcentral.